Molecule: ribosomal RNA, 341 nt
Filed under: uncultured fungus
Lineage: Eukaryota; Fungi
Description: SSU rRNA
Rfam family: Eukaryotic small subunit ribosomal RNA
Source: RNAcentral
AUCCUUGUCUCAAAGAUUAAGCCAUGCAUGUCUAAGUAUAAACAACUUUAUACUGUGAAACUGCGAAUGGCUCAUUAAAUCAGUUAUAGUUUAUUUGAUAGUACUUACUACUUGGAUAACCGUGGUAAUUCUAGAGCUAAUACAUGCGAAAAGACCCGACUUCUGGAAGGGUUGUAUUUAUUAGAUAAAAAACCAAUCGGGGCAACCCGUUUGUGGUGAUUCAUAAUAACUUUGCGAAUCGCAUGGCCUUGUGCCGGCGAUGAAUCGUUCAAAUUUCUGCCCCAUCAACUUUCGAUGGUAAGGUAUUGGCUUACCAUGGUUGCAACGGGUAACGGGGAAUA